Olea europaea var. sylvestris is the source of this 3525-nucleotide RNA transcript. It is a transcript of the gene named 26S proteasome non-ATPase regulatory subunit 1 homolog A-like, with no coding region annotated. NCBI's taxonomy places the organism in Eukaryota, Viridiplantae, Streptophyta, Magnoliopsida, Lamiales, Oleaceae. The transcript has 14 exons. The record is from RefSeq and is a predicted model, not a curated record.
UGCCCUUCCCUCAAGAAAUCCCAACUAAUAAAAACAGGAAAGAAUCAAGCUCCUUGAAAUCUCCCAAAGAGGCUCAAUUCUCCAUCUUCCCUGAAAAUUCUAAAUCUUCCUUCUGUUGAUCCACUCGGAAGUUUAAAAUUAGUUUUCUUUUUAGUCUCCUCCGGUUCAAUUCUCUCUUCAAAGCACUGUUCACUUUCUCUUGCAUCAAAAUCUAAACUUCUGCAUUUGUAUACAAUUAGGAUUAAUUUCUGCACAUAAAUAAUUGUGAAGAGUUAGAGAAGAUGGCUGGCGCUGCGACAAUGGUGAGCUCGGCCGGUGGGCUAUUGGCGAUGUUGAACGAGACCCACCCGGCGCUUAAGCUACAUGCGCUUUCUAAUCUUAACGCAUUCGUGGACUACUUCUGGCCUGAGAUCUCAACCUCCGUUCCUAUCAUAGAAAGUUUAUAUGAAGAUGAAGAAUUUGACCAUAGACCACUAGCUGCAUUACUUGUUUCCAAGGUUUUCUAUUAUCUAGGUGAACUGAAUGACUCAUUAUCAUAUGCCCUUGGAGCUGGUCAUCUAUUUGAUGUUUCAGAGGAUUCAGACUAUGUUCAUACUCUUCUUGCUAAAGCAAUAGAUGAGUAUGCCAGUCUCAACACUAAGGCAGCUGAGGCACACAAUGAAUCAGCAACAGUGGACCCUAGACUGGAGGCAACUGUUGAGAGAAUGCUUGAUAAAUGUAUCGUGGAUGGAAAAUACCAACAAGCUAUAGGAAUGGCCAUAGAAUGUAGAAGACUAGAUAAACUCGAGGAAGCAAUUACAAGGAGUGAUAAUGCUCAUGCAACUAUUAAUUAUUGCAUUGAUAUCUCUCACUCCUUUGUUAAUCGAAGAGAAUAUCGGCGUGAGGUGCUUCAGCUUCUUGUCAAAGUAUAUCAGCAACUUCCAUCUCCAGAUUACUUGAGCAUUUGUCAGCGGCUAAUGUUUUUGGAUGAGCCAGAGGGUGUUGCAAGCAUACUGGAGAAACUUCUACGAUCAGAAAUUAAGGAGGAUGCACUGCUGGCGUUUCAGAUCGCCUUCGAUCUUGUGGAGAACGAACACCAAGCUUUCCUUCUUAAUGUGAGAAACAGGCUCCCAAGUCCCAAGUCACUACCUUCAGAAUCUGUGCAUUCAGGGUCUCCUGAACCAGGUUCUGUGCAAAGUGAAAACACCACCACAACUGAGGAUGUUCAAAUGACAAAUGGGAGCCAAGUAGAUGGGAAUACAUCAAGUCCUGAUCCUCGUGAGGCAAUUUAUGCUGAAAGGAUAACAAAAAUAAGAGGAAUUUUGUCAGGAGAGAAUUCAAUACAGUUGACUCUGCAAUUCUUAUACAGUCAUAACAAGUCAGAUCUCCUUAUCCUCAAGACAAUAAAGCAAUCUGUUGAAAUGAGAAAUAGUGUCUGUCAUAGUGCAACUAUAUACACUAAUGCAAUUAUGCAUGCUGGAACAACUGUGGAUACAUUUCUUCGGGAGAAUCUGGACUGGUUAAGCAGGGCCACAAAUUGGGCAAAAUUUAGUGCAACAGCAGGAUUGGGUGUUAUUCAUAGAGGCCAUCUGAAGCAGGGGAGAUCGCUCAUGGCCCCUUAUCUGCCGCAGGGUGGGGCUGGUGGCGGGGGUAGUCCUUAUUCUGAAGGUGGAGCAUUAUAUGCUUUGGGUUUGAUUCAUGCUAACCAUGGGGAAGGCAUUAAACAAUUUCUUCGUGAUAGUCUACGAAGUACUAAUGUCGAGGUUAUCCAGCACGGUGCUUGCUUAGGUCUUGGUUUGGCUGCCUUGGGAACUGCUGAUAACGAUGUCUUCGAUGACAUUAAGAACGUGCUUUACACUGACAGUGCUGUAGCUGGUGAAGCUGCUGGUAUUAGUAUGGGUUUAUUGAUGGUUGGAACAGCCAGUGAGAAGGCUGGUGAAAUGCUUGCUUAUGCACACGAGACUCAACAUGAGAAGAUUAUCAGGGGUUUGGCACUAGGGAUAGCUCUUACGGUCUAUGGUAGAGAGGAAGAAGCUGAUACACUUAUUGAGCAAAUGACACGGGAUCAAGACCCUAUUCUACGUUAUGGUGGCAUGUAUGCUUUGGCAUUGGCAUACCAGGGCACAGGUAACAAUAAGGCCAUCCGUCAACUUCUGCAUUUUGCUGUAUCAGAUGUGAGUGACGAUGUAAGGCGGACAGCUGUUCUGGCUCUUGGGUUUGUCUUGUAUGCUGAUCAAGAACAGACUCCUCGAAUUGUUUCCCUGUUAUCCGAGUCCUACAACCCACAUGUUCGAUAUGGUGCAGCACUGGCCGUUGGUAUUUCGUGCGCUGGUACUGGUCUGAGUGAGGCCAUAUCAUUGCUUGAGCCUUUAACAUCAGAUGUUGUUGACUUUGUUCGUCAAGGUGCUCUGAUUGCAAUGGCCAUGGUGAUGAUCCAGAUCAGUGAAGCCAGUGAUUCUCGUGUUGGUGCAUUCAGGCGUCAAUUGGAAAAAAUUAUUCUUGACAAGCAUGAAGACACUAUGAGUAAGAUGGGUGCAAUUUUAGCUUCUGGAAUCCUUGAUGCUGGUGGAAGGAAUGUGACUAUUAAAUUACUUUCAAAGACGAAGCACGAUAAAAUUACCGCAGUUGUUGGUCUUGCUGUGUUCAGUCAAUUUUGGUACUGGUACCCACUUAUAUAUUUCAUUAGCUUGUCAUUUUCACCAACUGCUUUCAUUGGUUUGAACUAUGACCUGAAAGUACCAAGCUUCGAGUUCCUGUCACAUGCAAAACCCUCAUUGUUUGAAUAUCCUAAGCCAACUACUGUACCCACAACCACUUCGGCUGUUAAACUUCCUACUGCAGUUUUAUCAACAUCUGCUAGAGCCAAAGCCAGGGCUAGUAAGAAAGAGCAAGACAAGACUAAUGCCCCAAAGUCAUCUGGAGCAGAGCCGAGUGCGGGAAAGGGGAAAUCAAUUGACAAGGAUGAGGACUCUAUGCAGGUUGAUAGCCCAGCAGAUAAGAAGGCAGAACCUGAGCCAUCUUAUGAAAUCUUGACCAAUCCAGCCAGAGUGGUUCCUGCUCAAGAAAAAUUCAUCAAAUUCCUUGAAGAGAGCAGAUAUGUGCCUGUGAAGUCAGCAGCGUCGGGAUUUGUUCUGUUGAAAGAUCUUCGUCCUAAUGAACCUGAAGUAUUGACGCUCACUGAUGCACCCUCGUCAGCAGCAUCAAAUCCUGGUGGAUCAGUUACCGGGCAACAGAGUUCUGCCUCAGCAAUGGCUGUUGAUGAGGAGCCCGCACCGCCACAGCCAUUCGAAUUCACACCAUGAAUUGUUCAAUUGAAACUACUGUUAUAUAUACGUGAGCUUUUGCGGUUGAGCUUGUGACAUUUCAUAGGAGCCAAAAAUAUUAAUCUGAUCCUAGCUCGGCUGCGAAUCAAUGGAGCUACGAUCAAUGUCUAUUUAAGCCUGUGGCUUUGGAUUUUUAAUUGAAUCGUCGGGUCUAAGCAGGAUUUCGAAUUUCAAUCGAAUCAUGAAGUCUUAAUAUGAUACACAGUUAGGAUCUGUUCGAUAA